AGAGUUUGAUCCUGGCUCAGGACGAACGCUGGCGGCGUGCCUAAUACAUGCAAGUAGAACGCUGAAGAGAGGAGCUUGCUCUUCUUGGAUGAGUUGCGAACGGGUGAGUAACGCGUAGGUAACCUGCCUUGUAGCGGGGGAUAACUAUUGGAAACGAUAGCUAAUACCGCAUAACAAUGGAUGACACAUGUCAUUUAUUUGAAAGGGGCAAUUGCUCCACUACAAGAUGGACCUGCGUUGUAUUAGCUAGUAGGUGAGGUAAUGGCUCACCUAGGCGACGAUACAUAGCCGACCUGAGAGGGUGAUCGGCCACACUGGGACUGAGACACGGCCCAGACUCCUACGGGAGGCAGCAGUAGGGAAUCUUCGGCAAUGGGGGCAACCCUGACCGAGCAACGCCGCGUGAGUGAAGAAGGUUUUCGGAUCGUAAAGCUCUGUUGUAAGUCAAGAACGGGUGUGAGAGUGGAAAGUUCGCACUGUGACGGUAGCUUACCAGAAAGGGACGGCUAACUACGUGCCAGCAGCCGCGGUAAUACGUAGGUCCCGAGCGUUGUCCGGAUUUAUUGGGCGUAAAGCGAGCGCAGGCGGUUUGAUAAGUCUGAAGUUAAAGGCUGUGGCUCAACCAUAGUUCGCUUUGGAAACUGUCAAACUUGAGUGCAGAAGGGGAGAGUGGAAUUCCAUGUGUAGCGGUGAAAUGCGUAGAUAUAUGGAGGAACACCGGUGGCGAAAGCGGCUCUCUGGUCUGUAACUGACGCUGAGGCUCGAAAGCGUGGGGAGCGAACAGGAUUAGAUACCCUGGUAGUCCACGCCGUAAACGAUGAGUGCUAGGUGUUGGAUCCUUUCCGGGAUUCAGUGCCGCAGCUAACGCAUUAAGCACUCCGCCUGGGGAGUACGACCGCAAGGUUGAAACUCAAAGGAAUUGACGGGGGCCCGCACAAGCGGUGGAGCAUGUGGUUUAAUUCGAAGCAACGCGAAGAACCUUACCAGGUCUUGACAUCCCGAUGCUAUUUCUAGAGAUAGAAAGUUACUUCGGUACAUCGGUGACAGGUGGUGCAUGGUUGUCGUCAGCUCGUGUCGUGAGAUGUUGGGUUAAGUCCCGCAACGAGCGCAACCCCUAUUGUUAGUUGCCAUCAUUCAGUUGGGCACUCUAGCGAGACUGCCGGUAAUAAACCGGAGGAAGGUGGGGAUGACGUCAAAUCAUCAUGCCCCUUAUGACCUGGGCUACACACGUGCUACAAUGGUUGGUACAACGAGUUGCGAGUCGGUGACGGCGAGCUAAUCUCUUAAAGCCAAUCUCAGUUCGGAUCGUAGGCUGCAACUCGCCUACAUGAAGUCGGAAUCGCUAGUAAUCGCGGAUCAGCACGCCGCGGUGAAUACGUUCCCGGGCCUUGUACACACCGCCCGUCACACCGCGAGAGUUUGUAACACCCGAAGUCGGUGAGGUAACCUUUUGGAGCCAGCCGCCUAAGGUGGGACAGAUGAUUGGGGUGAAGUCGUAACAAGGUA
This 1506-nucleotide ribosomal RNA is filed under the name metagenome. Its description in RNAcentral is "bacterial SSU rRNA". It matches the Rfam family "Bacterial small subunit ribosomal RNA". The record is from RNAcentral.